Molecule: transfer RNA, 73 nt
Filed under: Stegodyphus mimosarum
Lineage: Eukaryota; Metazoa; Arthropoda; Arachnida; Araneae; Eresidae
Rfam family: tRNA
About the family: Transfer RNA (tRNA) molecules are approximately 80 nucleotides in length. Their secondary structure includes four short double-helical elements and three loops (D, anti-codon, and T loops). Further hydrogen bonds mediate the characteristic L-shaped molecular structure. tRNAs have two regions of fundamental functional importance: the anti-codon, which is responsible for specific mRNA codon recognition, and the 3' end, to which the tRNAs corresponding amino acid is attached (by aminoacyl-tRNA synthetases). tRNAs cope with the degeneracy of the genetic code in two manners: having more than one tRNA (with a specific anti-codon) for a particular amino acid; and 'wobble' base-pairing, i.e. permitting non-standard base-pairing at the 3rd anti-codon position.
Source: Rfam by way of RNAcentral
GCCUUUGUGGUGUAGUGAUUAACACGCUCGGCGUGUAUUCCAGAGGUCCGUGGUUCGAGUCCCGGCUAGGGCA